UACGUAGGGUGCGAGCGUUAAUCGGAAUUACUGGGCGUAAAGCGUGCGCAGGCGGUGAUGUAAGACAGAUGUGAAAUCCCCGGGCUCAACCUGGGAACUGCAUUUGUGACUGCAUCGCUGGAGUACGGCAGAGGGGGAUGGAAUUCCGCGUGUAGCAGUGAAAUGCGUAGAGAUGUGGAGGAACACCGAUGGCGAAGGCAGCCCCCUGGGCUGAGAUUGACGCUCAGGCACGAAAGCGUGGGGAGCAAACAGG
RNAcentral lists this ribosomal RNA (253 nucleotides) under uncultured bacterium. RNAcentral describes it as "partial 16S ribosomal RNA". It matches the Rfam family "Bacterial small subunit ribosomal RNA", at positions 524 to 776 of the family's 1533-position model. The record is from RNAcentral.